Molecule: long non-coding RNA, 754 nt
Organism: Neocloeon triangulifer
Lineage: Eukaryota; Metazoa; Arthropoda; Insecta; Ephemeroptera; Baetidae
Exons: 3
Source: RefSeq, a predicted model, not a curated record
GCUACUUUGUUAAAUCUACUAGGUGCUUUGUAACUUCAACAAAUCUACCUAGAGUGAUGGCUUCUCUGACCAACGCGCCGAAAUGCCGCGCACCUUUUUACUAGGUAGAUUUGUUGAAAUUACUAAAUGCAUUGUAAUUUUAACAAAUCUGCCUAGUAAAAAGAUGCGCGGCGUCUCGGCGCGCUGGCUUGAGAAGCCAUCAUUUCCUUGGAAAAACAAGCCUCGUGUGGACGCUUGUGCGUCGAUUUUAGGCUAAUUGAAGUUUAAUUGGCGUUUUGGAUUGGAUUCUGACUGCCUGACGGAAAAUUCAACAUCCGACUAUGCUCCGGAAGACAAAGACACCACCUUGACGAGGUCGCAUAAAACGUCAACCGUUUAAGGAGUUUUGGAAAUCAUUGAAUGAAUAUAUCAGAGCCUGAGGAUACGCGCAAAUGCAGCAAGAUUUCAACUCAGUUUAAGUGAAGGACCUGGACUUAUACUUGCGGCCUAAAUUUAUCUAGGAACUGGUCUCAAGAAAUUUCUCACUAAGAUUCCACCGCAUAGCCAACACAUAGUCAACAUUUCCGAACAGCCGUGAUAUUAUGUGAGAUAAUCAAGUGAAUCAAACUUGACUGCAUCAGACUGGACAUCACUGAACAACGGAAAGUGAAAUAAUGAUGAAAAAGUGCAACAAGAUGUUGAUAAGUACAAAAAUCAGUUUCUUAUUACCUAUUAUUUUUUAAUCGUUUUGUUCAGUGCUAAUUGUAAGUAGAUU